AAGAAUAAAAAUUGCUGGGAAUCAUUUCUUAUAUGUCAAGCACGCCAGAACUUCAGAUUCCAGUUGAUGAAUAUGGGGCUCACACCAAAGAGAUCAUCGAUACUGAGCUCAAAUCCGAUCCACUGGAAUACUUUGGGUGGUCAAAAUUUGAAAAGAACGCUGGAAUGCCUGUGUUUGUUUGUUAUUUCAUGGAUAGAAAAGAAUAUUUUCUCUAGGUGGUUGGUUGUAAUAGAAAAGUAAAUAUGGUGAGAUGGCAUGUGUGUGUGUGUUAGAGAGAGAGAGAGAGAGAGAUCAGUGAAUGGGCGAUAUUGCCAAUGCCCGAGGCUGCAGCAUUGGUUGAUACCAGAUCGGUGGUAAAAAAAUAUGGAGGUAAAAAUGGUUUUACAAAAAACUAUCAAAAUCUUGUGGGGAAAAAUUUUCUGAUAUGUAUCGGUAUCAAUUUUGCCUUGGCAUCUAAUAUUGUUUUAUUGCGCCUUUGGCACUACCUCAGCAAAUGUGUCCAAGAUGGUGGCAUGGAAUGGCCUUUUGCCAAAGCUCACAGUUGGCAAAGCUGGGACUCUGUUGUGGCCAACCCUUAGUUCAACCAUUUCUUCAAUGAGGUCAUGGUUUGUGCUUCCAAAAUUGUUCUCAAGGCUUUGUUCUCGGUUGUCAGAAACUGCAAAACUUCUCAACUCAAGGUGCAGAAAUACAUGCUGCCACACUUAAUGACAAUAUGGGCUCCAGAGUUGACUAUGAUACUCCUGGACAAAACUUGGGAAUACUAUAUAUAUAUAUAUAUAUAUUUUUUUUUUUUUAAUUUGGAUAUAAAUCAUGUAUAGAUGCAUUCUGUGAUCCAUAUGGGGUAGUAGACAGUUGAGAGAUUUUUUUUCCAGGUUCUUCACUUUUGGAAAGAGUAAAGACAGUGAUUCUUAACCUGGAUGACCAGAAUGAAAGUGAAAGAGUAAGAAUUUAGAAGGGAAAAAAAGUCAAAUGGUGUUGUUCAGUUUGACAAAACACAAAAUCUCUUUUUAGCUGUUGGUGAGGAUCAUCAGAUAAAGUUUCGGGAUGUGGACAAUGUCGACAUUCACAAGCACAUAUGAUGAGGUUGGACUCCUGGUAGGUAUUGUUUUAAUUUGAAUUUUUUGGUCCGCUUGUAUAGGACCUCAUUCAAAUUGGAUCCACACUCAUUGCUUUGAUUGCUUCCUCAUCUGAGAUUCAAGGAGGAAGAAAAUUCUUCUUGUUACCACAAAAGAUAAUGGUUUCGUGAUACUUGGAAGUGCUGAUAGUCUCGGAUGCUUGAGAUUGGAAACCAGUCCUUAGAAGCACUGAGAGCACCAAUUAAUAACCUGCCUCAGGUUAGGGUGUGAUCAUCCUUGUUAUCAUCCUCAUCAUGAACAUCAGCUUUCUUUGUGAUGUGUUCUUGACUACCCUCUUCUCUUAUGUUUCUAGCUUCUCUGUUGCUUCUUAAGCUAGCCUUGAUUUUUGUUUUUUGUUUUGUCCUUUUUUUUUUUGAAACAAUUAGAAUAAUUUGUGAAGAAUGGGGCUGAUCCUACUGCUAGAAGCAUAGAUUAAGUAAAGGUCUUUGGAUAAUGUAACUGAUAAAACUAAACCAUAAGAGUUGACUGAGAAUGCAAAUCAUGCAUGCAAGUUGUGCCAUUUUUAAUUCAUUUUUCAUCAUUUUCCAUCUAUCACAUGCAUCAACUUUCUAAUUGAUAAAUUGUCCCAUUAUAUCCAGGUUGCACAUCUUCAGACAAUUCUGGUUUGGCAUUUUAUCUCUUGGGUCAAAUGGGAUUAAAAAACUAUGGAAGUGGGGCCGCAGAGAACUUAAGUGGCAGGGUAAUGGUUUAAACUAUAUCUUCUUUAUGCUUUCUCCACUGGUUUAGAUUUUUCCACCAACCUUUAACAUACAGUUUCCUACUACUUAUAGACCACCUGCUAAUGUGUCUAACUGUGUAUCCAGCCAUGUGCAUUGUCAAGCUGACCAGUCGUUAACAAGUAAACACUAUGUUGUUCUUUUUCAUGGGAUAGAUUCUGUUCCCUUCUAAUUUUCUCCAAUUGCCAAAUAAGUUAAAUUGCAGAUGUGAUGGGUUUUAUUAUUGAGUUGUUCCAAGCAUCUAUGGGAAUGCUUGACUAUAUUUUGUUUCCCGUGUGGUGAUUCUUGGCUAAGUUACUUUAUUGUCCUGACUUAUUAAAUGAGUUAUCGUCUAUAUUUGAUGUGAAGUAAUUUGCAUAGUCAAGUUUAUAUUAGGAAAAACCCAACUACUGUAAGCCUGCCUCCCACACCCCUCCCUUAUUUUUUUUAUUUAUUUAUUUAUUUUUUGGGGGGGGGGGGGUUGUCUAUUGCAUGCCUAGCUACUUGCACAUAACACAUUUAUACUUGAUUGCAGAAUUCCCUUAGAUAUGAUAUAUGAUAUAUUUUGAUGAAGUUGAAACACUCAUAGGACAUUCUACCACUAAAAAAUUCCAAAUUCUGAUAUAACUGCUGCUACACUAAAAAUUUGAUUCAUCUUUUCAAAUGAUUACUUUGUUCACAGCUUUAUUUUCAGUUUGGCUUCCCUUUGAGUUGAUAGUUGGCUACAACUCUUUACUUUAGGAGUCACUUCGUCAAUGACCCAAAAGAUCAGUGAUCCAGCCUUGGUAUAUCUGCCAUUGAUGUCAGAAAAAAGAGAGUUAUUUACUCAUUUUGAAUUUGUUACGUUACAUGCACAUAGUAAUUGGUUAAGGAUUGAAUUCUCCCAAUGAUUAUAUUGGUGUCGUCUACUUUGAUGUUUUCAUUAGUUAUUUGGAUUCCCCUAUUUGAUGUAUUAUCUUAACUUCUCACCCUGUGUAGGGAAUUAAACCAUCAAUAAAAUAAUUAGCAUUGAAAAAAUAAGGAAUGGGUAUGUAAUGUUAGAUCUUUUAGUGUUGGAUUUCGACUGGAAUAAUGCCUUUGAUCGUCUUCCAUUUUCCUGAUUCAAAACUUUCCCUGACGGACAAGAGUUUUAUAGUGAUCUUCAAGAAAAAUUACAUAUACAAUGGUUAAUGUUUUGAGUUUUUCUUAAAACUAUUGCUAAGAGAAGUAAAACAUGCAUGACACAAAAGAUAAACCAUUGUGUACAUGCUUUGUAAGUCGGAUUCAAAUUUAUUUUGAUGGGUUUUUCUUUCUCUUUUUCACUUCUUAUUGAGAAUCUCUUAAUGUUUGUUUCAGAUUAAGGCAACAAUCAUAUAUGUUCCUUGUGUCUAGUAUCUGUCAUGUGUGAUAUGGGUAAGGGUUUUUUCUUUCUCUUUUUCAUUUCUUAUUGAGAAUCUCUUAAUGUUUGUUUCAGAUUAAGGCAACAAUCGUAUAUGUUGCUUGUGUCUACUAUAGUGCUUAUUGUGACUUUGUAUUUGUCAUGUGUUCCAUAUGGGUUUUUCACUUUCAACAUGGGCAGAAUUUGAACUUGGAAGUGCUCCUGUCUUGUGGAAAGCCAUGAGUGGUCUUUCUGUUCUACUUGUAUAUUUAAUGUAACACAUGGCUGCAUCAGUGGAAAAUUUUACUAAACCUGAUAUGACUGUUAUGCCUGGGAAUUCACUCCCUCAACCCAAAUGAGGGCAUGAUGGUAAUUCUGGAAUUUCUGGCAGUGAAAAAAGGUGGCCUGGGUGGCCUGGGGGAGAGUGUAUUCUGGUUACUGGUUCCGGCGCAAAAAAUUGGGGGUAUUAUUGGUUGUAAAGGAGAGUUCCUUAAAAGAAUGUGUGAGGAGACAAGAGCUUGCAUUAAGAUUCUUGAUGGUCCUCUAGGCACUUCAGAAAGGACUGACAUCACAUGGUUGCUGGCAACUCUUAGUCUAUUGGAUAUCUGAUGCAUGUACCCCUGUGGACCAUGAGGCAUCCUUUGUAAUUUGUUUUGUCCAUGAACCUAAGGCAACAAAUGAAUCACCAAAGUGACUACAUGUUAGAAGAAACAUAAGUCAAGAUUGCUUGGAUCAGAUUAAGGAUUAAGCAUUCCAUGUGCUAAAUGGUAGAUCUGAUUAAGCACUCAGAGAUACCUUUUACAGAUGUCUAUACCAAGAAGCUCGACAUUUUAUCUGGUAACUUCAAAACUUGGUUGACUGAUUGCCACAUAUGGUUAAACUCUUAGAAUGUUGGAUUCAAAUUUGUGAAACCUUGUAAAGCUUUAUGUAUUGAAGGAAGUUCGGUGAAGGGGAGGCCAUCCUUUGUUGUAUUUACAUAAUAUUGGUGGUUAGUUUACAUGCUCUGCAGUUUCAUAUGGAGGUAAUGUUCUGGUUUUAAAAACUGUUGUUUAAUGAUUUUAUGUUGGAAAUAUUGCUAUCAAUCUAUGUACUCAUGUUACAUAAACAUAGACAACAUAGUAUCAUUCUACCCAUAAACAUGUUACGAACUACGAUUUUGCCUUACUGCAGUUUCGUCUUAAGAAGAAUUGAAAUGCCUAAAUAGAACCUAAAACAUAAGAAUGUAUGAGCUGAAAUGUGGGGUUUUGUUACAUAGUGGUUGGAACAAAAUGUCCAAGCGGAGCAGUAGGUGGGCACUCGGUAGAGCCCUCAUAAGUCAUACCUUUUUUAAGAAGGUUCUAUUAGCCGAGUGGGAAGAGCAGGAGGAAAGUUAGGCACAAACUCCCCUCAGUAGUAAGUGAAGGCAGUUGGUAGCCAAUCAAAGGUCACAAAAGACAAACCAGUUAGAAUCAUAGAGCUUCAGUUCAACAUCAAAAUAGACUGCAAUCAUAGGGAUACAGUGGGCCAACUGCAAUCUAUAGAAAAAGUCUCAAGCAAGGAAUGUUUGCUACUUCAGUUGCAGGUUGGAGUGAAAAACAAACUUUUCCCCACUUGUUCAAAUAUGCUCGGAUGGACUACUUCUAAAAGAAAAAGUUUCAAUAAAAUAAAUCCGGGUUACAAAAUUUAUGUUACACUUACACAUACCAAAACUUUUUUUCAUUCAAGAAUCUAUUUUGUCUACUAGCAACCAAAUGAUUUCGAUUUCUGGUUAAUUAGUUAAAGAGAGCCUUAGUCGCCAUGUGAGGGUGUUAGUUCGUCAUUUGAGUGUCGAGACUGGGAAGAAAGAAGCAUUGAAUUGUUUUGAUGUCAUUAUCAUCUUGUAGUAAUAACCUAUACUCAAUUUAUCUCUCUAUGCAUUUGAGUUUUUAUCUUCUCUUAUGGUCUACAGUGAAGAUGCAUUCUUAUAGUGCAGCUGCAGUAACUGGCGCUGUUCAUCAGCUCAUUUGGAGUAAGUGUACUCUGCAUUUCCCCCUAAGGUCUCUGUUAGUGAUGGAGUCAUACUUGGUGAGAAUGUUUGACUCAAAUUUGUGAAUUUGUAAAGCUGCUUGCAUUAAAGCAAGCUUGGUGUGGCAACUCCAUUUCUCAAGUUCGAAUUUGCUUGAGAUCUGGCUCCACCUGAGCACGAGGAGGACAUCUAGAUCUAGUUGCCACGCUGCCAACUAUGGUUUAAAGUGUCUCCGAUACGAUACGAUAUGCUCCGAUACGUAUCUUAAAUUUACCCUAUUGAUACGGCUAAUACUUUAAUCCUUGAUUUUUAGCAUAUCUUGGCAUAUCUCUGAUACUAUACGAUAUCCUCCGAUGCUUCUCCUAUAUGGUGACUGAUACCGAUACAACACUCCCUUCUUACCUUUCAGUGGAACUGUAUCCCGGCAUUGGAGAGCAAGCAUCAACCUAGCUCAACAACUGCCUUCGUUCCGUAAACCCAGAUCCCUAGGUGAAGACAUGGGAGAAGGUUGUAUAACCCUGGAUGACUUAAAAAAAGGGGGGGGUUCUGUUCUUCACCCUAUCACAAUCGCAUCCAUGGCAGCAAAGAAAUUCAUCCCUUACCCUCUGUUUGUCCUUUGCUAAGCCUUCUUCUCUUUUGUUUUCUCUCAUAUUUUAUCCUCUAUUCCCCCAUCUGUAAAACCCCAAAUUCCUCUGGUUUUCUAAGGCGGUUUACAAAGUGGUUUGAAAUAUGAUUUACAAAGCCAAUACUUAAAAUGGUUUACAAGGCCAUCUUUCCAAGGUGAUUUUCCAAGCUGGUUUUCUAUGCUGGUUUACAAAGUGUGAUCUGCGAAGGUGGUUUGUGAGGCUGGUCAGAUUGCUGAAGGCCUGGAUACCCAUCGUUAGCAAAAAAAACACCUUUAUAGGUGUAUGUAUGCAUUUGGAAUUUGACACCUUAAGGUCUGGAUACCCGUCAAUAAGAAAAUUCCUUUAUAAAAAGAAAUGGAAAUAUGAUCUGAUUAUAUUUUUAGGGAGCUUCCAUGUUGCCAAUGUUGGGGGGUUCAUACACUACACCAAUGGUGGCACGGGGAACAACAUCAUCCAGAUGGGUCCUACAUGGUUCGGGAGGAGAGAGAAAAUAAUAAAAAAAAUAAAAAACUCAUGUGAUAGAAUUUGACAUUGACAAUGGGGGAAAAAUUGUCCUAAAUUUUAUUAUUCUUUAUUUUCCAUUUAUUUAUUUUGAAUUGACCAAAUAUUGCUUUUUUUUUUUUUUUCCCAUCAUGUAAUAUGAUAUUGCACAUUUCUUAAUGGUUUGGACAGCUUUCUAUCGUCAGAUUAGAACCUAUUGCCUUAAGAUAUAAUAAAUAAAAAGAUAAAAGUGUCUUAAGUUGGAUGGUCUCAUGUUGAAUUUAAUUUGAAUUACUUUUUCAUUUUUUACUUGCAACUAGAUGGUAAAGUAAUUCGAUCCCAAUUCGAUCCCACCAACAGUUGAACUCAUUAUUUAUAAUUCUGGUAGACUAAGUAAUUUUUUUUUUUUCGCGUCUUCAGCUAUAUUUGAUGAAACUUAUGUUCUACAGGAGUGUUUCUGGGUUGUAAAUGUGUCUUGCUCCUCCUUGCAGGCCUCUCCUCUUCUAGGGAAGCACUUUUGUAGUAGUAGAAUGUGUUUGUUAACAUGAAAGUGAUUUUGUACUUUUGCAGGAGUGAAGUGCAUUUGUUAACAUGAAAGUGUUUUUGUACUUUUCAAUCCUGUGGAACCUCUAUCUCCAUCUCCAUCUGAGAGGUAGAAAUUGUGAAACCAUGUCAUGUUUCAUCCACAUCUUCUCCAGCAGCACCGGUGUUGCCAAACAUGCUUUCACUCUUGAAGUGUUUUUAAAAAACAACAACAACAACAACAAAUGAAGAACUAAAAUAAGUAGAAGGAGAGUGUUUUGCUCUGUUGCCCUGCUGAAAGUACCUUUCAGGAAGCAGAAACAAAUGAUGAGGAAGAAGAGAAAAGAAAAAAAUAAGGAAUUCUUCGAUGAGAUGCAUUGAAAGAAAACUAACAACAUAAAUGCCGAAAGAGGGAGAAGGAGAUUAUUUUUUUUUCUGUGUUUCAAUGGAAAGAACUAUGUAGGAGGAACAUGUAAGUCCCAAAUAGUCUCAAAGUCAUUUAAAAGAUAAAGAAGAAGAGAGAAUAUUUGCACCUACUAUUGGAGAACAGAAGUUGUGGAAGUGGGAAGAUGGGAAAAAGGGUAAAAAGGAGAUGCGUCAAAUGGUCUAAACCCUUGCGUGGAAUUACAAACCUUCCUCUGUACCUGCAGUCUCUCUAGAAAAUUUUCUCACAAACUCAA
Macadamia integrifolia is the source of this 7480-nucleotide long non-coding RNA. RefSeq lists it as uncharacterized. The transcript is spliced from 8 exons. The record is from RefSeq and is a predicted model, not a curated record. NCBI's taxonomy places the organism in Eukaryota, Viridiplantae, Streptophyta, Magnoliopsida, Proteales, Proteaceae.